Molecule: transfer RNA, 101 nt
Filed under: Coriobacteriaceae bacterium CHKCI002
Lineage: Bacteria; Bacillati; Actinomycetota; Coriobacteriia; Coriobacteriales; Coriobacteriaceae
Description: tRNA-Ala
Source: RNAcentral
UUCGACCGUAGCUCCAGGGAGGAGAGGGUGUCGCGUCUUGGCGAGAUGCGCGCCUUCGCCGCAGAGGAGGGGCUUCUACGAUCAUGACGACGCGGUUGCGG